GAUGAACGCUGGCGGCGUGCCUAAUACAUGCAAGUCGAGCGAACGGACGAGAAGCUUGCUUCUCUGAUGUUAGCGGCGGACGGGUGAGUAACACGUGGAUAACCUACCUAUAAGACUGGGGUAACUUCGGGAAACCGUAGCUAAUACCGGAUAAUAUUUUGAACCGCAUGGUUCAAAAGUGAAAGACGGUCUUGCUGUCACUUAUAGAUGGAUCCGCGCUGCAUUAGCUAGUUGGUAAGGUAACGGCUUACCAAGGCAACGAUGCAUAGCCGACCUGAGAGGGUGAUCGGCCACACUGGAACUGAGACACGGUCCAGACUCCUACGGGAGGCAGCAGUAGGGAAUCUUCCGCAAUGGGCGAAAGCCUGACGGAGCAACGCCGCGUGAGUGAUGAAGGUCUUCGGAUCGUAAAACUCUGUUAUUAGGGAAGAACAUAUGUGUAAGUAACUGUGCACAUCUUGACGGUACCUAAUCAGAAAGCCACGGCUAACUACGCG
This 497-nucleotide ribosomal RNA is filed under the name uncultured bacterium. Its description in RNAcentral is "partial 16S ribosomal RNA". It matches the Rfam family "Bacterial small subunit ribosomal RNA", at positions 28 to 507 of the family's 1533-position model. The record is from RNAcentral.